GUCGUAACAAGGUUUCCGUAGGUGAACCUGCGGAAGGAUCAUUACCACACCGAUCCAAGAUCUUUUUCACCGCGAACCGUGGCCCCUCAAUAGCUAGUGGAAUUUGUUGGAUGGAGCGGAACCUGACUUAUGUUGUGCACCGAUUCGUUCAGCGAUCCACUGGUGGGACCGCAAGCCAAAGUGCCAUGGUUGCUUCGGCAGCUUUGGUGCGCCCCGUCACUUACGACGUUAACCGGUCUUGACCAAACAAACUGAACCAAAAAGGGCUCGAUUGGAACUGUGGCCUUAUCGCCCAGUAACAGCGGCCUGACAAAAAGUAAAAUACCUUACAACUUUCAGCGAUGGAUGUCUAGGUUCCCA
Molecule: unclassified non-coding RNA, 360 nt
Filed under: fungal sp.
Lineage: Eukaryota; Fungi
Description: partial internal transcribed spacer region
Rfam family: Eukaryotic small subunit ribosomal RNA (bases 1-44)
Source: RNAcentral